This 385-nucleotide ribosomal RNA is filed under the name uncultured bolidophyte. RNAcentral describes it as "SSU rRNA". It matches the Rfam family "Eukaryotic small subunit ribosomal RNA", at positions 587 to 975 of the family's 1831-position model. Lineage: Eukaryota; Bolidophyceae. The record is from RNAcentral.
AGCUCCAAUAGCGUAUAUUAAAGUUGUUGCAGUUAAAAAGCUCGUAGUUGGAUUUCUGGUGAAAGCGUCUGGACGGCCCAAUGGGUUUGUUCCGGUAUGUCUUUCGCCAUUCUUGAAGGGAACUUUUCUGGCAUUUAGUUGUCGGAUUAGAGAUCUUCAUCGUUUACUGUGAAAAAAUUAGAGUGUUCAAAGCAGGCUUAUGCCGUUGAAUACAUUAGCAUGGAAUAAUAAGAUAGGACUUUGGUACUAUUUUGUUGGUUUGCGUACCUAAGUAAUGAUUAAUAGGGACAGUUGGGGGUAUUCGUAUUCAAUUGUCAGAGGUGAAAUUCUUGGAUUUAUGGAAGACGAACUACUGCGAAAGCAUUUACCAAGGAUGUUUUCAUUA